UGUGACUUAUCUCUUUGUUGCCUCGGCGCAAGCUACCCGGGACCUCGCGCCCCGGGCGGCCCGCCGGCGGACAAACCAAAACUCUUGUUAUCUUAGUUGAUUAUCUGAGUGUCUUAUUUAAUAAGUCAAAACUUUCAACAACGGAUCUCUUGGUUCUGGCAUCGAUGAAGAACGCAGCGAAAUGCGAUAAGUAAUGUGAAUUGCAGAAUUCAGUGAAUCAUCGAAUCUUUGAACGCACAUUGCGCCCAUUAGUAUUCUAGUGGGCAUGCCUGUUCGAGCGUCAUUUCAACCCCUAAGCACAGCUUAUUGUUGGGAACCUACGGCUUCGUAGUUCCUCAAAGACAUUGGCGGAGUGGCAGUGGUCCUCUGAGCGUAGUAAUCUUUUAUCUCGCUUCUGUUAGGUGCUGCCCCCCCGGCCGUAAAACCCCCAAUUUUUUCUGGUUGACCUCGGAUCAGGUAGGAAUACCCGCUGAACUUAAGCAUAUCAAUAA
This 491-nucleotide ribosomal RNA is filed under the name Nigrospora sphaerica. RNAcentral's name for it is "eukaryotic LSU rRNA". The stretch from base 130 to 283 matches the Rfam family "5.8S ribosomal RNA". Lineage: Eukaryota; Fungi; Ascomycota; Sordariomycetes; Amphisphaeriales; Apiosporaceae. The record is from RNAcentral.